UUUGCUGUUUUGACUUUUUGCAGUUUGCAGAGGCUAUAGUGUGUGGUGGUAGUCUGAAUGUGUCCUCAGACAAAAUCCUGGACUAUCGUACCGAAAUUUUCCGGACAAUAAUACACAAUCAAGAUCAUGACACAAGAAAUCUCUGCAGGUACUGUGGAAGGCAGAAUCCUAUAUGCAGGAAGGGGUCAAAUGCUUCAAAACAUAUUAGAUGGAUUGGAUGUGAUGCCUGUGACCUAUUCUGGGUCCACCUGAAUUGCUGUCAAGAGAGAAUGCAUGGAAGAAGAAUCUUUUUGUGUGAUAUCUGCAGGCUUUGUGUAUAGUCUGGGAUAAAUAUUUGUUCCCAGAAGGAUAAUGUAACUUUUGAUGCUUAUUAACAUCUGAUUGUGGACUUUCCAUUCACACUUCAUCAGUGGUCAGAUUGAACUUCAUUCCAUGCAGAUUAACAUCACUCCAUUUGUUG
This is a long non-coding RNA of Mizuhopecten yessoensis (Yesso scallop), 460 nucleotides long. RefSeq lists it as uncharacterized. The transcript has 3 exons. The record is from RefSeq and is a predicted model, not a curated record. Lineage: Eukaryota; Metazoa; Mollusca; Bivalvia; Pectinida; Pectinidae.